CCUACGGGAGGUAGCAGUGGGGAAUAUUGGACAAUGGGGGGAACCCUGAUCCAGCCAUGCCGCGUGUGUGAAGAAGGCCCUCGGGUUGUAAAGCACUUUCAGUGAGGAAGAACGCCUGGUGGUUAAUACCCAUCAGGAAAGACAUCACUCACAGAAGAAGCACCGGCUAACUCCGUGCCAGCAGCCGCGGUAAUACGGAGGGUGCGAGCGUUAAUCGGAAUUACUGGGCGUAAAGCGCGCGUAGGUGGCUUGAUAAGCCGGUUGUGAAAGCCCCGGGCUCAACCUGGGAACGGCAUCCGGAACUGUCAAGCUAGAGUGCAGGAGAGGAAGGUAGAAUUCCCGGUGUAGCGGUGAAAUGCGUAGAGAUCGGGAGGAAUACCAGUGGCGAAGGCGGCCUUCUGGACUGACACUGACACUGAGGUGCGAAAGCGUGGGUAGCAAACAGGAUUAGAUACCCCUGUAGUC
RNAcentral lists this ribosomal RNA (465 nucleotides) under Vreelandella stevensii. Its description in RNAcentral is "partial 16S ribosomal RNA". It matches the Rfam family "Bacterial small subunit ribosomal RNA", at positions 338 to 795 of the family's 1533-position model. The record is from RNAcentral. Lineage: Bacteria; Pseudomonadati; Pseudomonadota; Gammaproteobacteria; Oceanospirillales; Halomonadaceae.